RNAcentral lists this ribosomal RNA (732 nucleotides) under fungal sp. Its description in RNAcentral is "partial large subunit ribosomal RNA". It matches the Rfam family "Eukaryotic large subunit ribosomal RNA", at positions 90 to 840 of the family's 3401-position model. Lineage: Eukaryota; Fungi. The record is from RNAcentral.
CGAGUGAAGCGGCAGCAGCUCGAAUUUGAAAUCUGGCUCUUUCAGGGUCCGAGUUGUAAUUUGCAGAGGGAGCUUUCGAGUUGGCAGCGGUCUAAGUUCCUUGGAACAGGACGUCACAGAGGGUGAGAAUCCCGUACGUGGUCGCAGGCCUUCUCGAGGUAAAGCCCCUUCGACGAGUCGAGUUGUUUGGGAAUGCAGCUCUAAAUGGGAGGUAAAUUUCUUCUAAAGCUAAAUACUGGCCAGAGACCGAUAGCGCACAAGUAGAGUGAUCGAAAGAUGAAAAGCACUUUGGAAAGAGAGUCAAAUAGCACGUGAAAUUGUUGAAAGGGAAGCGCUUGCAGCCAGACUUGCCUGUAGUUGCUCAUCCGGGCUUUUGCCCGGUGCACUCUUCUAUAGGCAGGCCAGCAUCAGUUUGGGCGGUUGGAUAAAGGUCUCUGUCACGUACCUCCUCUCGGGGAGGCCUUAUAGGGGAGACGACAUGCAACCAGCCUGGACUGAGGUCCGCGCAUCUGCUAGGAUGCUGGCGUAAUGGCUGUAAGCGGCCCGUCUUGAAACACGGACCAAGGAGUCUAACAUCUAUGCGAGUGUUUGGGUGUCAAGCCCGAGCGCGCAAUGAAAGUGAACGGAGGUGGGAUCCCUUAAGGGUGCACCAUCGACCGAUCCUGAAGUCUUCGGAUGGAUUUGAGUAAGAGCAUGGCUGUUGGGACCCGAAAGAUGGUGAACUAUGCUUGA